AUGGUCGCCGAGGCGGUCGGGUUCAUGAUGUCCCGCGCGGCGGACGGCGGGGCCAUGGCGCCGGAGCUCGUCACCCGGGGCUUCCUCGGCGGCUGCCAGGCGCCCGCCGCCGACGACGACCCACGCUCUGUUUUCUCUCUUCGCGUGUUGGCUUUCGCUUCUUCCUCUUCCCUGCUCAAUUGGGAUUGGACCGGACCGUACGCACUCUAG
Molecule: ribosomal RNA, 210 nt
Filed under: Triticum aestivum (bread wheat)
Lineage: Eukaryota; Viridiplantae; Streptophyta; Magnoliopsida; Poales; Poaceae
Description: partial small subunit ribosomal RNA
Source: RNAcentral